CGCAGCCUCAUCCAAUUCAGUGCCCGCCUGCUCUGUGGUGGGGGCUGGCCCAAAAGACUUGCCACAGCAACUGUAGCUCCUAGGCCCUGGGCUCCAUCUGUGAAUCCUGGGGAUAAAAUCACGCCCCAGACGCCC
This 135-nucleotide small nucleolar RNA is filed under the name Sphenodon punctatus (tuatara). RNAcentral's name for it is "Small nucleolar RNA SNORA5 (ENSSPUG00000017159.1)". It matches the Rfam family "Small nucleolar RNA SNORA5". From Rfam's summary of the family: ACA5 is a member of the H/ACA class of snoRNA that guide the sites of modification of uridines to pseudouridines. Lineage: Eukaryota; Metazoa; Chordata; Lepidosauria; Sphenodontia; Sphenodontidae. The record is from Rfam by way of RNAcentral.